AUGGGCCAGCUGGAAGCAGAAGGGUGGAUGGGCCGAGGCUGGCUUUCAUUCUUCCUACGGCUCAAAUUGAGAUAUGGGCAUCUUCACCACCCAAGAAGAUGCUGAAGUAACGAAGAAAAGAGAAGAAAAGGAAUGGAGAGGAAACUAGCAAUUAGUAAGCCACCUGCUGGAUACUUCUCUUUGCCAGCUUGCAAGGUAGGGCUUAUUCUCUUGGUUGCAUACACUUUUCUGAUUCUAGGAUACGAGUGUAGAAUGGAGAGCCAGUGACCAUGCAGAGAUUCCACUAUGUCAAAGCUCAUGCACCUACAAGGAUAAGCAACAGUUGAACAAAUGGCUCAUGUCUUACUAGGCAUGAGUCUGUCUAUCUUGCUACUUACCAUGGACAACUGUCCACUUUGUGGGUCACUUAUACCAAAUCUAUGUGACCUAGACUUUAGGUUAGUCCUCAGCUCUAUUAACACUGUUUCCAAUUCCACUUUUAUAUGUCAUAUCUUGUUCUGUGUAGGUCCUACCUUUUAUUCAUAUAUAUUUGUGUCAAUUGUCUUAACUCCUUUCUGGCAAAGAACAAAUAUGUCAAUUAAGAAAGAUUAUUUUUCACAAUGACCCUAUAGUAACAUGUAAUCACUAUUUUCAUUUUUUUUUAAUUGGAGAAUUACCUUGCCUAGAUCAUGGCAUCUAGUAACACUGAAGCCACAACCUGGGCUUGAGCCACAUGUUGGUUUCAUAUAGAGCAGCUGUAGUGGUAGAGGGGUCUCUGCUUGGGAGGAAGAGUAGUCAAGUCUCUGAAGAAGAAGAAAAUGAACCAAAAGGAAUAAUCUUGCAAAUGUGAUAAGAAAGAGCUAACUAAGACACAGAGACAUAUUAGAACACCAACUGCAAAGUCAAGUUUACUUACUUUUGAAGUUUAGGUCUGCUAAUUAUGACAGCUGUAAAGAUGGUCUACAUGUUUGAUCGGGUGACCAGGUCUUCCUUCUUAACUGGACACUUGAGUCAGAAUUACUUAUUUUCAAUUAAGCAUUGUUACUAAAUAUUUACUUUAAGAUCUUCCAACUAUUAGAUGUUGGCUAUAAUUUUAAAGCAUAGUGGAAUUUAACAAGAAUACAUUUUAAAUUGUCUCUCAAUGUUAAACAAUACAGUAGACAAGUAAGUGCUCAUAGUUGCUUUGUUGCUUUUAAAAAUUAUUUUAUUUACAUUCCAAAUGUUGCCUCUUCUAGCCCCAACUUGCAGAGUUCUUCCUCCAUCCCCCAUCCUCUUUGCCUUUGAGAAGGUGCCCCAUCCGGGCCUUUCCACUCCCUGGGGCAUCAAGUGUCUAUGGGAUUAGGUACAUCUCCCACAGAGGCUCGGCAAAACAGCCCACAGCUACAUAUGUGCCAGGGGUCUUGGACCAGUAUGUGUAUGCUCUUUGGUUGGUGCUUUAGUCUCUGAGAGUUCCCAGGGUUCCAGGAUAGUUGACACUGUUGGUCUUCCUAUGGAGUUGCUAUUACCUUCAGUUCCUUCAAUUCUUCCUGUAACUCUUCCAUAGGGGUCCUUGACUUUAGUCCAAUGCUUGCCUGUUUGUAUCUGUCUCAGUCAGUUUUGUUUUGUUUUGUUUUGUUUUGUUCUGUUUUGUUUUGUUUUGUAGAGCUUCUCAGAGGACAGGCAUGCUAGGCUCCUGUCUGUAAGCACAACACAGUAAUAGUAAUAGUGUCAGGGUUUGGUACUUGGCCUUGGGAUGGAUCUCAAUUUGGUUGGCCAUUCAUCCAGUCUCUGCUCCAUUUUUGUCUCUCCAUUUCUUUUAGACAGGAUCAAUUUUGGAUCAGAAAUUUUGAAAGUGGGUUGGUGUCCCUAUCCCUCUACUGGGGCCCUGUCUAACUUCUGGAGAUGGUCUUUUCAGGUUCCAUAUCCCCACUGCUGGGCAUUUUGGCUAAGGUCAUUGACAUUGAGUAUUGGGAGUCUUACCCAUCCCAGGUCUUUCCUCAGAAGAUGGAAAGAUCUCUCAUGCUCAUGGAUUGGUAGUAUUAUCAUAGGGGAAAUGGACAUCUUACCAAAAGCAAUCUACAGAUUUAGUAUAUUUCCCAUCUAAAUUCCAAUGCAAUUCUUCACAGACAGGGAAAGAGCAAUUCUAAACUUCAUAUAGAAAACCAAAAAACAAUUCUGAACAAUAAAAGCUUCUGGAGGAAUCACCAUCCCUGACCUCAAGCUAUAUUACAGAGCAAUAGUGACAAAAACUUCAUGGUAUUAGUACAGAAACAGACAGUCGAAUACAAUUAAAGACCCAGAAAUAAACCUUCAUACCUAUGGACACUUGAUCUUUGACAAAGAAUCCAAGACCAUACAGUGGAAAAAGGAAAGCAUUAUCAAGUAAUGGUGUUGGUCUAACUGGUGAUCCACAUAUAGAAGAAUGCAAAUUUAUCCAUAUUUAUCACCGUGCACAAAUAUCAAGGCCAAGUGGAUCAAGGACCUUAAUAUAAAACCAGAUACACUGAACUAAUAAAAGAUGAAGUGGGGAAUAUCCUUGAACUCCUUGGCACAGGGGAAAUUUUCUGGGACAGAACACCACCAAUGGCUCACAGGCUCUAAGAUCAACAAUUGAUAAAUGGGACCUCUUGAAACUGAAAAGCUUCUUUAAGGCAAAGGACACUGUCAAUAGGACAAAACAGCUCUGUUGCUUUUUGACAACAUCAGAAUUCAGUAGUGUGAGAGUGAGCAUGUGUGUGUGUGUGUGUUUGCAUGCACACACGUGUGCUUGUGCGUGUUACUUUUCUCAUUGCUGUGACCACGCAACAGACAAAAGCAGCUUAUAACUGGAAGGGUUUAUUUUGGCUUUGAGAGGGUACAGUGCAUUAGAAUGGGGAAGGCAUAAUGGAUUGAUGCCAGCAUGAGCGUGUGGCUGGGGUCACUCACAUCUCAGCUUACCAGGAAAAGAGGGAUGUCAACAUUCAUCUGAAUUUCCCCUUUUUUAUUCGGGUAUGGGCUUUAACUGCUAGGAUAAUGCUAGCCAUAUUCAAGAUGGUUCUUCUCUCCUUAGUUAUACCACCCUAGAAACUCCCUCAAGGGCACUGAGAGGUAUGUCUCCUCAGUAAUUCCAAAGUCAGAUGAAUCUAUCUAUCUAUCUAUCUAUCUAUCUAUCUAUCUAUCUAUCUAUCUAUCUAUCAUCUUUCCCCUGCCCCCUCAGUUAAAUCUCACUAAAAAUAUUUUAAAGAUAGCCAGCCACACUAGCACAAUGUUUAGGUGAUAAAACUGACAAAGCAGCAAGAAUGUUAUGAGAGUUAUGUAGCUGGCAAAACCUCCAAACCUUGAGUGAUUUGUGUGUGAGGCCAGAUUUAUUUUGGAGAUAUUUUUUUCACAAACAUCUGUAUCAUAAAUCAAAUUGGAAUGUGUUUGUUAUUUUUUUCUGUGGAAAAAUAUAAUACAGUCUACUUGCUGCUUAAGGUCAUGUUUCCCCAGAAUGGUGAUCAAAACUAACCCCCUGACACAGUUGUCAUGUUCAUCCUGUCCUAGGAGUACCAUAAAAAGUGUAGCUCAUCUCACCUAAGAAAGUCAGAGAGUACUUUUUAAGGAGAAAUAGCUUUGUAGUCCCUGAGGCUAGGCUGAUCAUAUUUUUGUCAGUUUGAUAAAUAUCU
RNAcentral lists this long non-coding RNA (3602 nucleotides) under Mus musculus (house mouse). RNAcentral describes it as "predicted gene, 29927". The record is from RNAcentral. Lineage: Eukaryota; Metazoa; Chordata; Mammalia; Rodentia; Muridae.